GGGGCGUGACAAUUAAUAUGGUAUCAGAGCAUAAGUAGAUAGAUAAAGACAUGUAGAAUAGAAUGAGCGAGUGAUGGGUAGAUAUUAGGAAAUUUGAGAGGUUAGUUAUGAUAAUUAUGAUCUGACCUGUCUCAAGUAAGUUUAUAACCUUAUUAAGGAUAAGUUAUUAUCUCAAAUUUGUCAUAAAUCAAAAUACCUCCACGACGAACGAAGAAUACUCAAGGAGCGAUAGGAGGAACAUCAAAUCUACUUGAUGAUAAUACUCCCCAAUUGAAUAGCGGCACAUCUCAGCAGGAGGGAAUCCUUGAUCCUACCAAAAAUACUCCAACAGUACAGGAGGAGCCGAACAUGACUCAACUAAUGCAAACUCUGAUCGGAGUAGUUCAAACACAACAACAGUUACUUCAACAACAACAUGCACAGCCACAUCAGCAUUUUCCACCGACACCUGGACAUGGAGAACAUCCGAUGCAGAGAAACAAUAUUGUCGAGUUUAAGAAGCUAGCCCCUCCAGCCUUCAAAGGG
This 525-nucleotide long non-coding RNA is filed under the name Elaeis guineensis (African oil palm). RNAcentral describes it as "long non-coding RNA (EGUI_LNC062369)". The record is from RNAcentral. Lineage: Eukaryota; Viridiplantae; Streptophyta; Magnoliopsida; Arecales; Arecaceae.